RNAcentral lists this ribosomal RNA (867 nucleotides) under uncultured archaeon. RNAcentral describes it as "bacterial SSU rRNA". It matches the Rfam family "Archaeal small subunit ribosomal RNA", at positions 1 to 878 of the family's 1478-position model. The record is from RNAcentral.
CUCCGGUUGAUCCUGCCGGACCCGACUGCUAUCAGAGUGGGACUAAGCCAUGCGAGUCAACGUAGCAAUACGUGGCAUACGGCUCAGUAACACGUAGUCAACAUGCCCAGGGGACGAGGAUAACCUCGGGAAACUGAGGAUAAACCUCGAUAGGCCAUGAUUUCUGGAAUGAUUCUUGGCUCAAACCUAUAUGGCCCCUGGAUUGGACUGCGGCCGAUCAGGCUGUUGGUGAGGUAAUGGCCCACCAAACCUAUUACCGGUACGGGCUCUGAGAGGAGGAGCCCAGAGAUGGGCACUGAGACAAGGGCCCAGGCCCUAUGGGGCGCAGCAGGCGCGAAACCUCUGCAAUAGGCGAAAGCUUGACAGGGUUACUCUGAGUGAUUUCCGCUAAGGGAAUCUUUUGGCACCUCUAAAAAUGGUGCAGAAUAAGGGGUGGGCAAGUCUGGUGUCAGCCGCCGCGGUAAUACCAGCACCCCGAGUGGUCGGGACGAUUAUUGGGCCUAAAGCAUCCGUAGCCGGUCCUGCAAGUCUUCCGUUAAAUCCAGCUGCUCAACAGAUGGGCUGCGGGAGAUACUACAGGGCUAGGAGGCGGGAGAGGCAAGCGGUACUUUAUGGGUAGGGGUAAAAUCCGCUGAUCCAUAGAAGACCACCAGUGGCGAAGGCGGCUUGCCAGAACGCGCUCGACGGUGAGGGAUGAAAGCUGGGGGAGCAAACCGGAUUAGAUACCCGGGUAGUCCCAGCUGUAAACGAUGCAGACUCGGUGAUGGGUUGGCCUCGCGCCUGCCCAGUGCCGCAGGGAAGCCGUUAAGUCUGCCGCCUGGGGAGUACGGUCGCAAGACUGAAACUUAAAGGAAUGGCGGGGGGACA